Molecule: long non-coding RNA, 938 nt
Filed under: Gossypium barbadense (sea-island cotton)
Lineage: Eukaryota; Viridiplantae; Streptophyta; Magnoliopsida; Malvales; Malvaceae
Description: long non-coding RNA (GBAR_LNC001930)
Source: RNAcentral
UUUUUUACAUCUUUUGCAUUGUAUUUCAAUGUAUGUAUGUAUGUAUGUAUGGGAUAUAUCAUCAGUUAAGUUAUUGUUGUCAUUAUUGAGUUUUAUAAGGCAAGGAAGAGCUUUCAGCUGAUUUCAUCAAAAUACUUCAUUUCUUUUGACCCUGUUAUCAUCAUUAGUUCAAAAAGACAACACAACAGACAAAACGGAAGAUAAAAUUAUAGUUUUGGCCCCUUUACUAUGUGUACAAGCCCAAUUUUGGGCCCUAAAUACCCACACUAAACCCAUUAAUCCAAACACCCAUUGCCCAAACACAAAAUUUAAAAAAAAAAAGAAAAAAGAAAAAAAACCUAAACUAAGAAACCCUAUCCCACCGCCUCCAGUCACGUCGACAACAAGUGGCCUCUGCUCCACCGCCUCUGCACCUGCAAGCAUUAAGUGAAGGAAUAGACAGAUAUUAAGCAAAAAUAGAAAAUGUAAUAGAUAUAAAAGACCGAGCAGAAAACCAUUGGGGCUCUCGGCAUUUUUUUUAGAUACAAAUAAAGCAUUCAAUUUUUCUAGCAAGGAAAACAGCAAUAUCAUCCAUCAAAAGAAAAGAGAAACAGCAUCAAAAAAACUAAAAGCCCUCAGAAACAGAAGCCAUAGGCACAAGGUGAUUCGUUUACUUUCCUUUUUUUAUUGUUAUUUCAUAGCCAAAUCUACCUAUUAAAUGCCCUUAUAUAAGUAUAAAUAUACAACAUAAACAAAGGAAACACACUUAAAAACAAGAAAAGGAAAAUUUUUUACCUUCGACCGCCGUGCACCGCGGUCGCCGGCGCCAGAGACGCGGCGGAGGACGGUGGGAGACCGCCGGAGAACUGACCGAGCUCGAACCUGCAGAGAACACAAAGAGAAAGGCUUAGUUUUUUUUAGAAACAAACAGCAAAAAUGAUUUCAAAGACAAAAUUGAC